This 1133-nucleotide ribosomal RNA is filed under the name Microbacterium oleivorans. Its description in RNAcentral is "bacterial SSU rRNA". It matches the Rfam family "Bacterial small subunit ribosomal RNA", at positions 188 to 1336 of the family's 1533-position model. The record is from RNAcentral. Lineage: Bacteria; Bacillati; Actinomycetota; Actinomycetes; Micrococcales; Microbacteriaceae.
AUGGCUAGUGGUUGGAAAGAUUUUUCGGUCUGGGAUGGGCUCACGGCCUAUCAGCUUGUUGGUGAGGUAAUGGCUCACCAAGGCGUCGACGGGUAGCCGGCCUGAGAGGGUGACCGGCCACACUGGGACUGAGACACGGCCCAGACUCCUACGGGAGGCAGCAGUGGGGAAUAUUGCACAAUGGGCGAAAGCCUGAUGCAGCAACGCCGCGUGAGGGAUGACGGCCUUCGGGUUGUAAACCUCUUUUAGCAGGGAAGAAGCGAAAGUGACGGUACCUGCAGAAAAAGCGCCGGCUAACUACGUGCCAGCAGCCGCGGUAAUACGUAGGGCGCAAGCGUUAUCCGGAAUUAUUGGGCGUAAAGAGCUCGUAGGCGGUUUGUCGCGUCUGCUGUGAAAUCCCGAGGCUCAACCUCGGACCUGCAGUGGGUACGGGCAGACUAGAGUGCGGUAGGGGAGAUUGGAAUUCCUGGUGUAGCGGUGGAAUGCGCAGAUAUCAGGAGGAACACCGAUGGCGAAGGCAGAUCUCUGGGCCGUAACUGACGCUGAGGAGCGAAAGGGUGGGGAGCAAACAGGCUUAGAUACCCUGGUAGUCCACCCCGUAAACGUUGGGAACUAGUUGUGGGGUCCUUUCCACGGAUUCCGUGACGCAGCUAACGCAUUAAGUUCCCCGCCUGGGGAGUACGGCCGCAAGGCUAAAACUCAAAGGAAUUGACGGGGACCCGCACAAGCGGCGGAGCAUGCGGAUUAAUUCGAUGCAACGCGAAGAACCUUACCAAGGCUUGACAUAUACGAGAACGGGCCAGAAAUGGUCAACUCUUUGGACACUCGUAAACAGGUGGUGCAUGGUUGUCGUCAGCUCGUGUCGUGAGAUGUUGGGUUAAGUCCCGCAACGAGCGCAACCCUCGUUCUAUGUUGCCAGCACGUUAUGGUGGGAACUCAUGGAAUACUGCCGGGGUCAACUCGGAGGAAGGUGGGGAUGACGUCAAAUCAUCAUGCCCCUUAUGUCUUGGGCUUCACGCAUGCUACAAUGGCCGGUACAAAGGGCUGCGAUACCGUAAGGUGGAGCGAAUCCCAAAAAGCCGGUCCCAGUUCGGAUUGAGGUCUGCAACUCGACCUCAUGAAGUGGAGUCGCU